RNAcentral lists this ribosomal RNA (253 nucleotides) under uncultured bacterium. Its description in RNAcentral is "partial 16S ribosomal RNA". It matches the Rfam family "Bacterial small subunit ribosomal RNA", at positions 524 to 776 of the family's 1533-position model. The record is from RNAcentral.
UACGUAGGGGGCAAGCGUUGUCCGGAUUUAUUGGGCGUAAAGAGCGUGUAGGCGGCUUGGUAGGUCCGCUGUGAAAACUCGAGGCUCAACCUCGAGAUGUCGGCGGAAACCACUUGGCUAGAGUCCGGAAGAGGAGAGUAGAAUUCCUGGUGUAGCGGUGAAAUGCGCAGAUAUCAGGAAGAACACCCGUGGCGAAGGCGGCUCUCUGGGACGGUACUGACGCUGAGACGCGAAAGCGUGGGGAGCGAACAGG